GAGUUCAUGCCCCUCGGGGUAGAUCUCCCACCCUUGUGUAUCAUUAUCGAAUGUUGCUUUGGCGGGCCGCGCUUCAGCGCCUGGAUUCGCGUCCAGCGUGCCCGCCAGAGGACCACAACUCUUGUCUUUAGUGAUGUCUAAGUACUAUAUAAUAGUUAAAACUUUCAACAACGGAACUCUUGGUUCU
Molecule: unclassified non-coding RNA, 187 nt
Filed under: rhizosphere metagenome
Description: partial ribosomal RNA internal transcribed spacer region
Source: RNAcentral